GUGGUGGUGGUGCUGGUGGUGGUGGUUUACUGGUUUUAAUGGCGUUUAUGUUUAAUAGCUCUGGAAAGUAAAAAAUACAGGUUAUGGAUGUAAUGAUCUAUAUUCAGAGUUAUGUAGAGCUUGUGUUGGUCCUCUUGUUGAUGUUGGUGAAAGAGUUUCUUACUUCCCUCAAGGUCAAAUGGACCAAUUAGAAGCAUUGAAAAAAUAAAGAAUUGGCUCAGAGAAUUCUUAUGCUUACUCCACCUUCAAAGAUUCUUUGUCGAGUUGUUCAUAUCGAAUUACUGGCAUGAUGGACAAGAAAAUGAUAAGAUUUAUGCAAGAGUGACUUUGCAAUCAGAAGAUGAUCCGAAUGAACCUAGUAGUCCUGAUCCAUGGACACAAGAACCACCAAGAGAGGGUGUUCAAUCUUUUUGCAAGAUUUUGACUGCAUCUGAUACUAGUACUCAUGGAUGGUUCUCUGUUCUUCAGAAACAUGCUAAUUAAAGUUUACCUCAGUUAGUAAAACUUGUUUCAUUUCAUUUUCACUCUUAUUCUUUUGUUUUUUGUUUUCACAUUCUGUAGGAUAUGACCCAAGCGACACCAACUCAGGAAUUGAUUGCAAAGGAUCUUCAUCGGUUUAAGCAUAUUUUUAGAGAGAGAUUAGAAUGAGAAUUUGCAUGUUGGAGUAAGGCAUCAAGCUAGGCCACAAAGCAAUAUGCCCUCAUCUGUGAUAUCCAGCUAGAGAAUACAUCUCGGAGUGCUUUCAACAGCAUCACAUGCUGUAGUGACGAAAACCCUUUUCAUAGUUUACAACAUUUCAAGGUUGACUUAUUUAUGCCCUUUUAUACUGCCGAUUGUACCCAUCUUAAGAGCUGGUCUUUCUCUUUUCGAGCAUGCUUCAUCCAUCUUUCCUGCCACUGAACCUAUCAUUUGGGUAAGGGAAUAAGUAGAGAUGAGGAAACCAUGUUGCGAAUUGUACAUUGAGGAGACCCUAUUUCCAACUAAAGCAAUGUUUUUGUUCAUGAAAUUUUCAGGCUUCAUGUAGAAAUCAGAACCUUCAUGUUUGCUAUGAGUACAUGGCGGAGCAAGGGAAUGAACUGUAUGAGCUGGUAAGAAAAUUUCGCGACGAUAGUUCUACUAGUGAUGGUGGUAGUGGUGGUGAUUUUUAUAGUGUUAUGUUAUUGUUUUCACAUUUGGAACUUGAGAGAUUGUAGUUUGUUGAACUUGUAAAAUGAAGUUAGUUAAUAAUGUUCAUUUAAUUUCAACUUUUUUGGUAAUUUUGUUGGAUUGAUUUGAUUUUAAAUGUACAGGGGUAACUUGAUUUUGUUGCCUGAAAUUGUACUUUGGACAUGGUUUUGACCGGUCAAAACCACUAUUUUUUUU
Papaver somniferum (opium poppy) is the source of this 1362-nucleotide long non-coding RNA. RefSeq lists it as uncharacterized. NCBI's taxonomy places the organism in Eukaryota, Viridiplantae, Streptophyta, Magnoliopsida, Ranunculales, Papaveraceae. The record is from RefSeq and is a predicted model, not a curated record. The transcript has 8 exons.